Molecule: ribosomal RNA, 1372 nt
Filed under: uncultured bacterium
Lineage: Bacteria
Description: bacterial SSU rRNA
Rfam family: Bacterial small subunit ribosomal RNA
Source: RNAcentral
GAUGAACGCUGGCGGCGUGCCUAAUACAUGCAAGUCGAGCGAACGGACGAGAAGCUUGCUUCUCUGAUGUUAGCGGCGGACGGGUGAGUAACACGUGGAUAACCUACCUAUAAGACUGGGAUAACUUCGGGAAACCGGAGCUAAUACCGGAUAAUAUUUUGAACCGCAUGGUUCAAAAGUGAAAGACGGUCUUGCUGUCACUUAUAGAUGGAUCCGCGCUGCAUUAGCUAGUUGGUAAGGUAACGGCUUACCAAGGCAACGAUGCAUAGCCGACCUGAGAGGGUGAUCGGCCACACUGGAACUGAGACACGGUCCAGACUCCUACGGGAGGCAGCAGUAGGGAAUCUUCCGCAAUGGGCGAAAGCCUGACGGAGCAACGCCGCGUGAGUGAUGAAGGUCUUCGGAUCGUAAAACUCUGUUAUUAGGGAAGAACAUAUGUGUAAGUAACUGUGCACAUCUCGACGGUACCUAAUCAGAAAGCCACGGCUAACUACGUGCCAGCAGCCGCGGUAAUACGUAGGUGGCAAGCGUUAUCCGGAAUUAUUGGGCGUAAAGCGCGCGUAGGCGGUUUUUUAAGUCUGAUGUGAAAGCCCACGGCUCAACCGUGGAGGGUCAUUGGAAACUGGAAAACUUGAGUGCAGAAGAGGAAAGUGGAAUUCCAUGUGUAGCGGUGAAAUGCGCAGAGAUAUGGAGGAACACCAGUGGCGAAGGCGACUUUCUGGUCUGUAACUGACGCUGAUGUGCGAAAGCGUGGGGAUCAAACAGGAUUAGAUACCCUGGUAGUCCACGCCGUAAACGAUGAGUGCUAAGUGUUAGGGGGUUUCCGCCCCUUAGUGCUGCAGCUAACGCAUUAAGCACUCCGCCUGGGGAGUACGACCGCAAGGUUGAAACUCAAAGGAAUUGACGGGGACCCGCACAAGCGGUGGAGCAUGUGGUUUAAUUCGAAGCAACGCGAAGAACCUUACCAAAUCUUGACAUCCUUUGACAACUCUAGAGAUAGAGCUUUCCCCUUCGGGGGACAAAGUGACAGGUGGUGCAUGGUUGUCGUCAGCUCGUGUCGUGAGAUGUUGGGUUAAGUCCCGCAACGAGCGCAACCCUUAAGCUUAGUUGCCAUCAUUAAGUUGGGCACUCUAAGUUGACUGCCGGUGACAAACCGGAGGAAGGUGGGGAUGACGUCAAAUCAUCAUGCCCCUUAUGAUUUGGGCUACACACGUGCUACAAUGGACAAUACAAAGGGCAGCGAAACCGCGAGGUCAAGCAAAUCCCAUAAAGUUGUUCUCAGUUCGGAUUGUAGUCUGCAACUCGACUACAUGAAGCUGGAAUCGCUAGUAAUCGUAGAUCAGCAUGCUACGGUGAAUACGUUCCCGGGUCU